Long non-coding RNA from Hydractinia symbiolongicarpus, 1423 nucleotides. RefSeq lists it as uncharacterized. The transcript is spliced from 3 exons. The record is from RefSeq and is a predicted model, not a curated record. Lineage: Eukaryota; Metazoa; Cnidaria; Hydrozoa; Anthoathecata; Hydractiniidae.
GAUUUCAACAACAUUUCGGUGAUAUUAUAUUCAACUCCGCUGCGCGUCGUUGAAUAUAAAUCACCUCGGGUUAAUAAAUCUCAAUAACCUAUGUUUACCUAUUGUAUAUCUACUUAAUAUUCUACGAUAUAUUACUGCCGAUAUAUUGCAGUGAUGUGAAGCCGCCGUUGCCACUUUUUAAAACUAAAUAUGGAUAUCGUGUAUUGAUAAAAAAAAAUUUAAGUCUAAAAAAAUAUGUGAUAAUUUUUCUGAUAUAGUCGUGGUUGUAAGUCAUAUCUGCUAAAAGGUAGCGGUACGUGAUAAAUCUAAAUUUUUUGGUCUUCUUUCAAGAUAAAGGGCAAAGAGAGCUUAACACGUCAUUUCCAAUUGCAAUUACAGUUUCUUUCAGUAAUAACACCACCAUCCACGCGAAAGUUAUGGAGAAUUGUUUUAUUUCUGUAACAAUUUCAUCGGGCAACAUGUUAAGUUAAAUGAACUAAUCAAUCAAUCGCGUCAUAUUGGGUUCAGAGAAAGGAAAAUUCAAAUGAAUCAAUCAUUGGCAUAAUAUGAGGUAUUUGUCAGUGUACAUUACAAGGCAAUCAAGAAAAAUUCGUAUAAAAAAUUAGGAUAUGUGAACCAUUAUAAUUGAUUAGAGCUAAAGGAGGCUUGGUAGUAAGGAUAAUGCACAUUAAGGAAAAGAUUGAACCGUCACAAAAAAAUAGUACUAUCCAUGGUAGUAUAUGGUAUCAUUUAUAUAGAGAGACAACUUGACAAAACAUAAAAUUACACCAGAAAGUAACAGUCAUGAAGCAGACGAAUAGCAGGUCGAUAAAUAUUGACCUGUAUUGUUGCAAGGUUACAAUCAAAAGAAUCGACAGCAAUGGUGACGUCACAGUUGGACAUGUGCCAUAAGAACUGUCAAGAUUUGUAUUUUUUUUAUUCAUAUAAAAGGAUUCGUUACUCGAACAGUUGAAUAUCUUGUUCCAAGAUCUUUGCCAAUUCCAGAAGUCGGCAUUGAAAUUGCAAAUUCGUUGCAGUUCACUCACUAAAGCAAUAUUGUUGAAAAAAGAAACUUGUUUACACGCAACUUAUAAAGGAUGACAAAAUUUGUUUUUAAGCAGCAGGUUGGAUAAAUACGACAACAGGAAUAGAAAGAAGAAGAAACAGACGGAGAAUGUUUGAUAAAAGUUGAGGCGGACGAUUGGGAAGAUAGUGAUCAAGGCAAAUAAACAAUAGAUAUUAAUUAUAUAUAAAAGGUGUUGUUAAAAAAUACCUAAUAAAUAAUAAAAUACCUAAUAAUAAAAAAUUCAUAAUUUUUAGGAGGGUUAAUUCAGUAUUUUAUAUUCCCUGAAGAAGCGUAACACACAGCCCUAAGUGGCGUUACACCAAACUUUUUGAGUUGCAGCAUUGAGUUGCGAAAAAAAUGACUCAUGCAAACUUUGGC